CGCGUAGGCGGCCUUAUAAGUCAGAUGUGAAAGUCCACGGCUCAACCGUGGAAGUGCAUUUGAAACUGUGGGGCUUGAGUAUCGGAGGGGAGUGUGGAAUUCCCGGUGUAGAGGUGAAAUUCGUAGAGAUCGGGAGGAACACCGGUGGCGAAGGCGACACUCUGGACGAAUACUGACGCUGAGGCGCGAAAGCGUGGGGAGCAAACA
RNAcentral lists this ribosomal RNA (207 nucleotides) under uncultured bacterium. RNAcentral's name for it is "partial 16S ribosomal RNA". It matches the Rfam family "Bacterial small subunit ribosomal RNA", at positions 568 to 774 of the family's 1533-position model. The record is from RNAcentral.